AAUGCUCUGAGAAGCUGGAAACAGAAGAUCUGGAAGGUACCAAAUUCAGAUAGCUAGCUUGUCCAAAAAUUCUACUGAUCUGAUUUUGCUACCACAUGUCGGGUCAGUCUAAGAGGAACAGAAGAUUCCUUCCAUUAUGUGGAUUAUGUGGGAACUAGGAUGGCCGACAUGAGACUUGAUGUAGUGCUGGUUGUAACGUUGUGGGCUGGAAAGAAGGAAAUGCUUCAUUACAAUUUGAGGUCUGCCCUGCCUUCAGUUGGUGCCACUCUAGACAUUGCACAGAACAAAGUAGUAAAAUGCUGGGCAGUAUUUCUUGGGUCAUCUAAUAACAAACACAAAACAUGAUCAAACAAAGUAUGAUUGGACUGGCCAGCAAAACUAAAGAGCAAAUGAAAAAAAUAACUACAUGUCUUGCUACCAGCAAGCCAGCAAGGAGGGGAAACUCUCCUCAUCUUGAACAAGAAGAGAUCCUUUCACAGCCUUGGAGUACUUCCUUUCAUAUGAACCUGUCUGUCCAUUAAGAAUAUUUCCAGAAGCCCCUGGUGCUCAGAGGUUUAGUGGGCAGUAACUGGGGAGAAGCCUUCUUAGCUGAGGUCAAGAAUGUCUGGCACCUGCUCUUAUAUCUUCGAAGCGCAGUCCCGUCUUUAGGGCAGGGCAACUGGUGCGAUUGCCCCAGGCCCUGCAUUUGGAUGGGCCCUGCCGGCAGCAGCUGCACUGAAGUGAGCGGUGAGCACCCGCUUGGCAGCCUUGCACCAUGUGCCUGCCUCGGCUCCUGGUGGUGCUGCCGCUGCGGCAACAAGCCAAGCGCCAGGCAAAUACCUCUUUAUUUUACUUGCCAGGCCUUUUAAAAUACAGUUUAAACAAUUUUGACUCUA
Hemicordylus capensis (graceful crag lizard) is the source of this 875-nucleotide long non-coding RNA. RefSeq lists it as uncharacterized. The transcript is spliced from 2 exons. The record is from RefSeq and is a predicted model, not a curated record. Lineage: Eukaryota; Metazoa; Chordata; Lepidosauria; Squamata; Cordylidae.